Long non-coding RNA from Oncorhynchus tshawytscha (Chinook salmon), 387 nucleotides. The record is from Ensembl. NCBI's taxonomy places the organism in Eukaryota, Metazoa, Chordata, Actinopteri, Salmoniformes, Salmonidae.
UGGGGGAGAAGGGUAUGGGUAGGGACAGGGCCAGUUCUGGGGGGAGUUUCAGGGGACAGGAGGAAGACAAAGAGGACUCUCCUCCAGCCUCGUUCACAAACAAGGGUGGCAUCUGGUCCGGUAAAGGCACUUUAAACUUAUAGCUUUCCUCCAUAGGCGACGUCUGGACAGACUUGGCCUCCAGACAACUCAGGAGACAGUCAGUCUGUUGGUCUACAUGACAGACCUCCUUCACUAUCCUCUCUUCAGUCUGUAGGUCUACAUGACAGACCUCCUUCACUAUCCUCUCCUCAGUUUGUAGGUCUACAUGACAGACCUCCCGGUACAGACCCCCUCCACACUAGCCUCCGGCUCCUUAAUGCUAAUAAUAUCUCUGUCCAGCAGGGG